RNAcentral lists this transfer RNA (75 nucleotides) under Sulfurospirillum sp. RNAcentral's name for it is "tRNA-Val". It matches the Rfam family "tRNA". From Rfam's summary of the family: Transfer RNA (tRNA) molecules are approximately 80 nucleotides in length. The record is from RNAcentral. Lineage: Bacteria; Pseudomonadati; Campylobacterota; Epsilonproteobacteria; Campylobacterales; Sulfurospirillaceae.
GGUCGCGUAGCUCAGUGGUAGAGCACCACCUUGACAUGGUGGUGGUCGUUGGUUCAAGUCCAAUCGUGGCCACCA